RNAcentral lists this ribosomal RNA (352 nucleotides) under uncultured bacterium. RNAcentral's name for it is "bacterial SSU rRNA". It matches the Rfam family "Bacterial small subunit ribosomal RNA", at positions 22 to 356 of the family's 1533-position model. The record is from RNAcentral.
GCUCAGGAUGAACGCUGGCGGCGUGCUUAACACAUGCAAGUCGAGCGAAGCGCUUUGGAAAGAUUCUUCGGAUGAUUUCCUUUGCGACUGAGCGGCGGACGGGUGAGUAACGCGUGGGUAACCUGCCUCAUACAGGGGGAUAACAGUUAGAAAUGACUGCUAAUACCGCAUAAGACCACGGUACCGCAUGGUACAGUGGUAAAAACUCCGGUGGUAUGAGAUGGACCCGCGUCUGAUUAGGUAGUUGGUGGGGUAACGGCCUACCAAGCCGACGAUCAGUAGCCGACCUGAGAGGGUGAUCGGCCACAUUGGGACUGAGACACGGCCCAGACUCCUACGGGAGGCAGCAGUA